Molecule: ribosomal RNA, 301 nt
Filed under: uncultured bacterium
Lineage: Bacteria
Description: partial 16S ribosomal RNA
Rfam family: Bacterial small subunit ribosomal RNA
Source: RNAcentral
CAGCAGCCGCGGGAAUACGUAGGGUGCGAGCGUUAAUCGGAUUUACUGGGCGUAAAGCGUGCGCAGGCGGCCCGUUAAGACAGGUGUGAAAUCCCUGGCUCAACCUAGGAAUUGCGCUUGUGACUGGCGGGCUCGAGUACGGUAGAGGGGGGUGGAAUUCCUGGUGUAGCAGUGAAAUGCGUAGAGAUCAGGAGGAACACCGAUGGCGAAGGCAGCCCCCUGGGCCUGUACUGACGCUCAUGCACGAAAGCGUGGGGAGCAAACAGGAUUAGAUACCCCUGUAGUCCCUGUCUCUUAUACA